AACUAAUUAGUUUAUACAAAACAUUAAAUUGCAAAUUUAACUUAUAAAUCAUUCGAUG
RNAcentral lists this transfer RNA (58 nucleotides) under Carrhotus xanthogramma. Its description in RNAcentral is "tRNA-Cys". The record is from RNAcentral. Lineage: Eukaryota; Metazoa; Arthropoda; Arachnida; Araneae; Salticidae.